This is a long non-coding RNA of Macrobrachium nipponense, 1776 nucleotides long. RefSeq lists it as uncharacterized. The transcript is spliced from 4 exons. The record is from RefSeq and is a predicted model, not a curated record. NCBI's taxonomy places the organism in Eukaryota, Metazoa, Arthropoda, Malacostraca, Decapoda, Palaemonidae.
GUUGAACUUGAGAAACAAGAACAGUCGAGACUUGGAUCGCGUCGAAGUGACAUCGCUGCUCUGCCCAUUUUCACAAGGUGUCGGGCCGCAGGACUAACCCCCUUCAAGGCACAGUGAUUCUCCAAUGUAGGGGAAACUUCUCCAAAACUUCGAGGCUUGAUCGACGUACGCACGAGGCGAAGUUUCGGAAGUUUGUUCGAUACAAUCAUCAGGCAAAUGCCCAAAGUGGGCCACUCGGGGAUGGUGCCCAAACAAGAGGACUCGGAGCUACUCUUAUUCUGGGAUUUGGACGGUUCAAUUAUGCAGGGACCCUGUAACCUAAGUCAAAAGUUAUACAUCUUCAAUGACAACUUGACAGACACAAAUAAUAACCAACCGAAGAAUCUCAAGAAUGAAUCAUUCAGUAGCUGGAGCAACCCAAACAUCACCAUCAUCCUCAGUGGGACGGAUCCUUCGGGUUCUGUUGCAACGUCCUGCGGAACACCGGCCUCGAAGCAGACAUCCAAGAUGCGACGUUGGUUAGCUGGCGUGUGUGGGGCAGACGAUUACUACUUCUGAACUCGUGUGGAGGAGAGUCUACUGCAGGGUGUGUGGAAUGUUUCAGGUCCUUGUAUAUUGGACGGAAACACUGGACCCGGUUAUAAUAUCCAAAAUGAGACUAUGGAUAAGUGGCCCUUAGAAAUCGGCUGUUUAUGCUUGGACCUGCGCUAAGACCGCCAUUAGCCUUUGGCUAAACAAAUCCUCAAACCGUCUGAGAGAGGAAUCCCUUUCAACCUCUUGCUGUGUGGUGGAAUUCAAGUCUGGCAGAGUAUCAUACUGAGCCCACUAAUGUGCCAUAAUGUGACCUUGGCACGAAUCUCAGAACGAACUAUAACCUAGGCAAAGAUGCCCGUCAUAUAGUUAAGAGGUAGUUAGGCUUUCAUCAACAAUCAGGUCUGGGGAUUGAAUAGUGGCACACGCAGAGUACCAGACUAUUGAAUAACCUUUCUUGAAAUCUUUUACUGAGCCAAGGUCAGUUUCACAAGCUGGCAGAUAUGUUCAGACCACAAGAGAUUAGCUAUGAAGAGCUGUACUCAGCUGACGAUGUGGCGAAGAAGUGAAAAAGGAAUACUAAAAAAAGAACAUAACCUCAAAAGUAAACGGGUUUCAAGUUUAUGUCCAUGUUUCACGGCCAGAUACACAGGACCAUAGAGAAGACUGGUCUGUAAUUGGCUCGUAAAGCUAAACCAAUUACAACAGCCUUCAGUUACUAGACCAACGUUAGAGCUACGGAAGAAAUAGCCAACCUAUGUCUUCCAGUAGUUUUCAAAAUUAACUGAAGAGGCCCCUAACGACUACCAGUUACUACACAAGUGAGCAAAAUCUCAACUGUUGCAGAAUUCAGGCCCUUAACUGUACCAUAAUGUGACUUUGGCGCAGGGCUCUGUAGCAAUGGGAAUCAGAUCUACCUCACUCUUGUAGGAGGCAGUCAGAAUGGGUCUGACACAAAUUCACACACAUGCUGCAGUAGAUUUUUUUUUUUUUUUACCAUAUAAUACAAGAAGAUAUACGCUUACAAAUCUGCCACAAAGAACAACAGCGAUACGCAAAACUAAAAUAGAACCAGAUGUUUGCGAAACAUACAAAUCAGCUGAUCAACCGAGUUAUUCUGGACAUACAAAGUGUCAAUAACAUGACUUUGAAUCAAAUGUGGUCUGUUGCUUUCAAGGAAGCGAAAAAUGGGGAUAAAAUUAUUAUUUUCUAUGACUUGAAUAAACAUUAAAUAACCUAAUAAAA